GUCAGGCACGCAGGGCGCUGCCCGGCACGGGGCAUGCGGCCCACAUGCGGGCGUGCGGGUCGGCCCAAGCGCGCGCAGGGGGCGCGACCCAGGCGCUCGGCGCGAGCACGGCCAAGGCCCACCCGCAUGGGCCAGCCCAGGCCCAGGCGCCGCGCUUAGGGCUUGUACUCCGAUCCACCGUAGACCGGAUGAUCCAUGGCCCAGCACGUGGACCGUGUGGGCAUUUCCCAUGUAUUUUAUGUGGUCCACAGAACAAUUUCGUGGAUCGGAGUGCGAUCCAACGGCUUGGGUUGAUCCCGAUCUUGAUUCAACGGUUUGGAACUUGAUUUGAGGUUGAUUAGGAGUUCUAAUCCCUUUCUAAUUGAUGGUUAAGACCUUUAAAAGGGCCUGAUGCGAGGGUGGUGGCUUGGUUUUCUCACGAAAAGUUGUGAUUUGGUUAUUGUUCACGGGAACAAUAACCUGUGGUCUCCUGGUGUGGCUUUUUGUUCGCGAACAGUGACCUGGCGGCCUGGUGGUCUCGCACGGGUGCAGAAAUCCAGAAAAUCCGAAAGAGAAGAGAGAGAGCCGUACGCUGGGAGAGAAAAGGAGCAGGGCUCUUGGAAGCGGACAGCGGUCGCUUCAGGGGUUCAAGGGGGUCUUCCAAUAGAGAGACUUUUGUGAGGGAAAACUUUCUGUGAGAGAAAAAUUGGGUGUACGAGGGUUAAGAGUGAAAUCUCCUCUUGUAAAAUUUCUUUUUUAUAGUGAAGUUUGCAUGUUUCGUGGAGACGAGCCCUUUUGUGAUUGAUUCACGUAUUUUGAUUGUUUUGUUUUGUUUCUUUUUUCUUCCUGCUACAUCGCGCAGUAUCGAAAAGAUCUUGAGAGGUGGUGUCUUGGCCAGACAUCCACCCAACAAGUGGUAUCAAAGCGAGGCGGUACAAGGAUGCAGAUUGCAGCGGUGGUGAGCAAGACUGAAGAUAGAGAUCAACAAGUUUGAUGGAGAUCAACAAGUUUGAUGGAAAGAGCAAUUUCUCCUUUUGGCAGGCAAGGGUGAAGAACGUGCUCAUCCAAAAGGGGUUGAUCGAUGCUCUCUUGUGCGAGGAGAAGCCAACCACCAUGGAGGUGUAGGAUUGGAAACGGCUAUAGAUGCAGGCGAUGAGUACCAUCCGCAUGUACCUAGUGGAUGAGGUGGUGAUCCAUGUGCUGAGCGAGACUUCUCCGACGGUGCUGUGGUCAAAGCUCGAGGAGUUGUACAUGACGAAGUCUCUCAGCAAUAUUCUUUUUCUUUGGAGGCAGUUCUAUCAACUACGAAUGACUAAGGGACAAAGCAUGCAGGAGCAUCUCAGCUACUUCCAGAAGAUCCUCACCGACCUCCUCAGCGUUGGUAAAAAUGUUGAGGAGAAGACCAGGGUGCUGGUUUUGCUAGCGUCGUUUCCACCUUCGUAUGAAUCCUUGGUGACUGCUCUUCUAGUGGGGAAGAGCACCAUCAAGAUGGAUGAGGUCACCACGACGAUACUCCAGAAUGAAGUUCUCAGAAGAAAAAAUCCAGCUUCGAGCUCAAGUGGCGGUAGCUCAGCUUUGGUGGCUUCUGGAGGAGUAGGAGGCGGUAGAUGGAGCGACAGGAGAUCGCAACGAGGGCGGUCUAAGUCCAAGAGAGACUUAAGCAAAGCCAGGUGUUACCGAUGUGAGGAGUUAAGACAUCUAGCCAGAGAUUGCCCUCAACUCAAAAAUCGGACGGUGGCUGUUGUAGCGACGGCCAGCAGUGAUUCAGAUGGAGAUAUUCUGGAGAUAUCUGACGAGGUAUCUACUUCUUCCUAGUAGUGGAUAUUAGAUUCUGCACGCACCCAUCAUGUAUGUUGCAGAGAGGAGCGGUUUGACUUUCUAGAGAAUAGUGAGGGUAUUAUAUAUCUAUUGGAUGGAUCGAGUUGUGCGAUCAGAGAUAUUGGGACGGUCAACUGGAGGAUACAUGACGAUAUAGUGAGGAGAUUGGGAGUAGUCCGAUACAUAUCCGAUUUCAGGUGAAAUCUUAUCUCACUGAGCAGACUGGAUUCGAGAGGCUACAGGACGAUAGCUGGUAGAGGAAUCUUGAGGGUGCUACGCGGUGAUAGAAUCGUGCUGGAGGAAAAAAAGGAGAGCAAAGGACAUCAUUACCUGAUAGGGAGCCUAGUGCGAGGUGGAGCUAUGGGAGCCAGGUGGAGCCCAAAGUGAGGUGGAGCUCCAGGUGGAGGUGGAUUGAGCACAAGAUAGGAGACUCGGGAGGACGAGAGACGAUGUCACAAUGUGAGAUUCCUAUUACUACAGGAUGAUGCCCCGAGUAGGUUUUAGGUCAGGAGGAGCACAGCAUACGACGGAGAUGGAAUUUUGCGGCCUAGCUCAACUCCCAUGUUUAUCCAUCCAUGAUCAACAGGCGAUUGCUCCAGGGCAUGGGGGCGAGGAGAUCUAGAAGCUCUCGGAGUUAGGAGAAGGUCAAAUAUUGAGUCAAGAUGGAGAUUGUUAGGAUUUGAUAUCUCGAGAUUCGAUCCACAUUGAGUCCACAGUGAGGUUCGUGACGAAAAAUGGAGUCCAAUAAGACUAAGAUCACCUCAAACGGAGCUCAGAUGGAGGAGAUACGAACUUUUGAAGUUAGCACAAGAUCUGAGGCGGCGGAGGACCGACGCGGCCGUAGGCGGCUUGACGUCGCCGAGUGCGCGGCAGCGUGCAGGCUAGGCGCGCAGGGUGUGGCCCAACGUGGGGCGCGUGGCCCAGGCGCACGCAGGGGACGCAGCCUAGGCCCAGGCGCCCGACACCGGCGCGAGCCGGCCCAGGCCCAAGCACCGCGCUUGGGGCCUGUACCCCAGUCCAUAACCCAGUGCGUGGACCGCGUGGGCAUUUCCCACGUAUUUUAUAUGGUCCACGGUACUAUUUCAUGGACCGGAGUGCGAUCCAACGGCGUGGGUUGAUCCCGACCUUGAUCCAACGGUUUGGGACUUUAUUUGAGGUUGAUUAGGAGUUCUAAUCCCUUUCUAAUUGAUGGUUAAGGCCUUUAAAAGGGCAUGAUGCGAGGGUGGUGGCUUGGUUUUCUCGCGGAAAGCUGUGAUUUGGUUAUUGUUCAUGGGAACAGUAACCUGUGGUCUCCUUGUGUGACUUUUUGUUCGCGAACAGAGACCCAGCAGCCUGGUGGUCUCGUGUGGGUGUGGAAACCCAGAAAACCAGAAAUAGAAGAGAGAGAGCCGUACGCUGGGAGAGAAAGAGCAGGGCUCUUGAACAGCGGACAGCGGUCGUUUCAGAGAUUCAGAGGGGUUUUCUUAGAGAGAGUUUUUGUGAGGGAAAACUUUCUGUGAUAGAGAAAUUGGGUGUAUGAGGGUUGAGGGUGAAACUCCUAUUGUAAUUUUUUUUUUAUAGUGAAGUUUGCAUGCUCCGUGGAGACGAAUUCUUUUAUAGCUGAUCUACGUAUUUUAGUUAUUUUGUUUUAUUUCUUCUUUCUUCCUGCUGUAUCGUAUAGUAUCAAAAAAAUCUUAAAAGAUAGUAUCCUAAUCAGACAUUCAUCAAAUAAAAUAUGAUAGAGCGGCCAAGCAUGCAUGAAAGAUCCCAAUGGCCUUUCGUGUGAAAGAGCUAGCCGAUCCAACUAUUUAAUUGGGUUGGACAUUACUCCUCGACCAUAAAAAUAUCCUUCUUGAUUAGUGUCCUUGUUGGGCACUCCGCACCAUUGAAAUAUGUGAGUUUCUGGUUUUCCGUCAAGGAGAAGACACAGAAGCAAACAUAUAUAGUCAGGAAAGGGAAUUUACCGUGCACCUUAGCUUGUGAUCACUUUCUCUGCAUCCAAUAAUUGAGGAACCUAGGCUAGGUCUUGAAUUUAAUUUUUAUCAUACAUGGUUUUAGACUUGGUUGAAAAUAUGGAGAUGUAAGUUAUCGUAAUCUUUGUCUGGUGAGGUUUAAGAAAACAAAUUCUUGGUUUAGUAAGUGAAAAGAAUUUUUCUUACCACAAACAAAUGAAAUAGAUUUUGUAUCAUGCACGUAAUGUACAUGCUUUAAUUGUGGCCAGUGGAGCUUGAGCAGAUAAGGUGCAUAAAAAUAUUAUGACAUUCUUCGAGGGCACUGUUUUGCCAUCGUAAGGUAACAAGUGGUUGCCUAAAAAUUAUGGCGGAGUUUCCAUUUUUCAUUAUUUUUUGGCUAGAUGUUACAUUAGCUCCUCGGUUAUCAUGUCCACGAGAUACUUGGCUUUAGAUGCCAGUUGUUCAAGAGGAAGAAUAUUUAGUGUGUGGCCCUAACCUAUAUCACUCUUCCAUAUCUAGGAAAAUGCUUUGGGGACUAAAUUUAUAAAAAAAACCACAAAACCAUGAACUAAAUAAUAUUUCCUUAUCAACUCAAAUUUUGAACUAUUAUUUUCUUGGACUCCAGCUAUUGUCAUGAGCUCAUAAAGAGGAAAAGAGUAGUGCCACACCAAAAGUUAUAUCUGUGGUUUCCAUGCAACUUUGGAUUUAUUAGCUGCAAAAUUGAGUUUAGGUGGUCCUUUUGCUUUCUUAGUAAUUUAGUAGGAUCCGUGGAAGGGAGUGAGGCACAGAGGUCAUGGGAAGAAUCCUCCAUGGAUGCUCGCUUUUGCAUUAUAUACAGCAGAGAUAAUUCUUUAGAUCUUGUAUGAAUUCAU
RNAcentral lists this long non-coding RNA (4600 nucleotides) under Elaeis guineensis (African oil palm). RNAcentral's name for it is "long non-coding RNA (EGUI_LNC000905)". Lineage: Eukaryota; Viridiplantae; Streptophyta; Magnoliopsida; Arecales; Arecaceae. The record is from RNAcentral.